Molecule: ribosomal RNA, 392 nt
Filed under: Enterobacter sp. NG14
Lineage: Bacteria; Pseudomonadati; Pseudomonadota; Gammaproteobacteria; Enterobacterales; Enterobacteriaceae
Description: bacterial SSU rRNA
Rfam family: Bacterial small subunit ribosomal RNA
Source: RNAcentral
AAGGAACAUCCCUACUCUUUACAUCCAGAGAACUUAGCAGAGAUGCUUUGGUGCCUUCGGGAACUCUAAGACAGGUGCUGCAUGGCUGUCGUCAGCUCGUGUUGUGAAAUGUUGGGUUAAGUUCCGCAACGAGCGCAACCCCUAUCCUUUGUUGCCAGCGGUCCGGCCGGGAACUCAAAGGAGACUGCCAGUGAUAAACUGGAGGAAGGUGGGGAUGACGUCAAGUCAUCAUGGCCCUUACGAGUAGGGCUACACACGUGCUACAAUGGCGCAUACAAAGAGAAGCGACCUCGCGAGAGCAAGCGGACCUCAUAAAGUGCGUCGUAGUCCGGAUUGGAGUCUGCAACUCGACUCCAUGAAGUCGGAAUCGCUAGUAAUCGUAGAUCAGAAUU